This 483-nucleotide ribosomal RNA is filed under the name uncultured bacterium. RNAcentral describes it as "partial 16S ribosomal RNA". It matches the Rfam family "Bacterial small subunit ribosomal RNA", at positions 28 to 523 of the family's 1533-position model. The record is from RNAcentral.
GACGAACGCUGGCGGCGUGCUUAACACAUGCAAGUCGAACGAUGAAGCCGGAGCUUGCUCUGGUGAAUUAGUGGCGAACGGGUGAGUAACACGUGAGUAACCUGCCCUUGACUCUGGGAUAACUGCUAGAAAUGGUAGCUAAUACCGGAUACGACCCUCGGAGGCAUCUUCAGGGGUGGAAAGAAUUUCGGUCAAGGAUGGCCUCGCGGCCUGUCAGCUCGUUGGUGAGGUAACGGCUCACCAAGGGGACGACGGGUAACCGGCCUGAGAGGGUGACCGGCCACACUGGGACUGAGACACGGCCCAGACUCCUACGGGAGGGAGCAGUGGGGAAUAUUGCACAAUGGGCGCAAGCCUGAUGCAGCAACGCCGCGUGAGGGAUGACGGCCUUCGGGUUGUAAACCUCUUUUAGUAGGGAAGAAGCGAAAGUGACGGUACCUGCAGAAAAAGCACCGGCUAACUACGUGCCAGCCGCCGCAGUAA